Molecule: transfer RNA, 87 nt
Filed under: Metallosphaera yellowstonensis MK1
Lineage: Archaea; Thermoproteati; Thermoproteota; Thermoprotei; Sulfolobales; Sulfolobaceae
Rfam family: tRNA
About the family: Transfer RNA (tRNA) molecules are approximately 80 nucleotides in length.
Source: Rfam by way of RNAcentral
GCCGCCGUAGCUCAGCCCGGGAGAGCACCCGGCUGAAGACUAGGCUCAGGUACCGGGUUGUCCGGGGUUCAAAUCCCCGCGGCGGCA